Molecule: non-coding RNA, 72 nt
Organism: Bos taurus (domestic cattle)
Lineage: Eukaryota; Metazoa; Chordata; Mammalia; Artiodactyla; Bovidae
Source: Rfam
UCCCUGGUAUCUCAGAGGUUAAAGCAUCUGCCUGCAAUGCAGAAGAGCCGGGUUCGAUCCCUGGGUUGGGAA